UACGUAGGGGGCAAGCGUUGUCCGGAAUUACUGGGCGUAAAGAGCUUGUAGGUGGUUUGUCGCGUUGUUCGUGAAAUCUCACGGCUUAACUGUGAGCGUGCGGGCGAUACGGGCAGACUAGAGUACUGCAGGGGAGACUGGAAUUCCUGGUGUAGCGGUGGAAUGCGCAGAUAUCAGGAGGAACACCGGUGGCGAAGGCGGGUCUCUGGGCAGUAACUGACGCUGAGGAGCGAAAGCAUGGGGAGCGAACAGG
Molecule: ribosomal RNA, 253 nt
Filed under: uncultured bacterium
Lineage: Bacteria
Description: partial 16S ribosomal RNA
Rfam family: Bacterial small subunit ribosomal RNA
Source: RNAcentral